This 305-nucleotide ribosomal RNA is filed under the name uncultured bacterium. RNAcentral's name for it is "bacterial SSU rRNA". It matches the Rfam family "Bacterial small subunit ribosomal RNA", at positions 333 to 635 of the family's 1533-position model. The record is from RNAcentral.
CUAGGCCUACGGGAGGCAGCAGUGAGGAAUAUUGGUCAAUGGGCGAGAGCCUGAACCAGCCAAGUCGCGUGAGGGAUGACUGCCCUAUGGGUUGUAAACCUCUUUUGUAUGGGGGGAAUAAGCUUUACGAGUAGAGUGAUGACAGUACCAUACGAAUAAGCAUCGGCUAACUCCGUGCCAGCAGCCGCGGUAAUACGGAGGAUGCGAGCGUUAUCCGGAUUUAUUGGGUUUAAAGGGUGCGUAGGCGGCCUUUUAAGUCAGCGGUGAAAGUCUGUGGCUCAACCAUAGAAUUGCCGUUGAAACUG